RNAcentral lists this ribosomal RNA (497 nucleotides) under uncultured bacterium. RNAcentral's name for it is "partial 16S ribosomal RNA". It matches the Rfam family "Bacterial small subunit ribosomal RNA", at positions 29 to 507 of the family's 1533-position model. The record is from RNAcentral.
UAUGAACGCUGGCGGCGUGCCAAAUACAUGCAAGUCGAGCGAACAGAUGAGGAGCUUGCUCCUCUGACGUUAGCGGCGGACGGGUGAGUAACACGUGGAUAACCUACCUAUAAGACUGGGAUAACUUCGGGAAACCGGAGCUAAUACCGGAUAAUAUAUUGAACCGCAUGGUUCAAUAGUGAAAGACGGUUUUGCUGUCACUUAUAGAUGGAUCCGCGCCGCAUUAGCUAGUUGGUAAGGUAACGGCUUACCAAGGCAACGAUGCGUAGCCGACCUGAGAGGGUGAUCGGCCACACUGGAACUGAGACACGGUCCAGACUCCUACGGGAGGCAGCAGUAGGGAAUCUUCCGCAAUGGGCGAAAGCCUGACGGAGCAACGCCGCGUGAGUGAUGAAGGUCUUCGGAUCGUAAAACUCUGUUAUUAGGGAAGAACAAAUGUGUAAGUAACUAUGCACGUCUUGACGGUACCUAAUCAGAAAGCCACGGCUAACUACGUG